AAAGAAGAUGAUUCGGAGAUUAGCGUUGGGAUACUUCCCCAGUGGAGAAGUCCUAUACAAGAGGAGCUCCAACGGUGAGUUAUUGAGAUGUGUAGAUGCAAAAGAAGCGAAGAAAAUCCUUUUUGAGACUCAUGAGGGAAAUUGUGCAACCCAUGCCAACGGGCAUAUGAUGGCUAAGCAAAUCAUGCGGCGGGGGGAUUUUUGGACCACAAUGGAAAAG
This 220-nucleotide unclassified non-coding RNA is filed under the name Hevea brasiliensis (rubber tree). The record is from RNAcentral. Lineage: Eukaryota; Viridiplantae; Streptophyta; Magnoliopsida; Malpighiales; Euphorbiaceae.